RNAcentral lists this ribosomal RNA (403 nucleotides) under uncultured bacterium. RNAcentral's name for it is "partial 16S ribosomal RNA". It matches the Rfam family "Bacterial small subunit ribosomal RNA", at positions 28 to 526 of the family's 1533-position model. The record is from RNAcentral.
GACGAACGCUGGCGGCGUGCCUAAUACAUGCAAGUCGAACGCAGUGGGGACGGGUGAGUAACACGUGGGUAACCUCCCAUCAGAGGGGAUAACACUUGGAAACAGGUGCUAAACCGAUACUGAUGGAUGGACCCGCGGUGCAUUUGCUAGUUGGUGAGGUAACGGCUCACCAAGGCCACGAGUCAUAGCUGACCUGGGAGGUGGAUCGGCAACCCUGGACAUGAGACACGGCCCAGACUCCUACGGGAGGCAGCAGUAGGGAAUCUUCGGCAAUGGACGAAAGUCUGACUGAGCAACGCCGCGUGAGUGAAGAAGGUUUUCGGAUCGUAAAACUCUGUUGUUAGAGAAGCGGUAUCUAACCAGAAAGCCACGGCUAACUACGUGCCAGCCGCCGCGGUAAUUC